AAAGGGUUCUACAAGGAAGGUUUAUGAAAACCUUGAGAAUAAAAAUGCAGAAUAAUCAUAUCCUUAUAGAUUGUAUCAAGACGACAGAAAUUGUAUGAUCAGACCCCUGACCAUCGCCUCAGCUCAUCAUUGCGUCAUCUGGAUGGCUUCCCUAAGCUCCCACCUGGGCCCAGAAAGGAAACGGCUUAUGACCUGCAGUCUUUGACUAUCACCAUCUCCAUUCUAUUUAUGGCCCUGCUGCACCUCUGUGCAAAUUAGGAGAAGGUGACCCUCUUGUGGGGAUGGAGGAGAAGGACAAACCAGGCCGUGAUCUGGCCAGUAAAGUGGGACUGGGCUGGCUCCUGGUGGGCUUUGGUAAGGUGUAACCUGCACCAUGGUCAUUACUGCCCAAAAUGAGAGCCAUCAGCUUGCUAAGAAUCGCUGAGCCCGGAGCGCCACUCUUGGGUGAAGAUGCUUCUUUCAGAUCCCCGCCUACCCACCUGCAAGGCUUGCAGGAAGUCUUGAGAAGAACCAAGAAGGAGGCUGAUGCUCCUAGUUGUUCAUGAGCAGCCAAUGUGGUAGGCUGAUGCCUAACAGUUUCCACCUUCUUCUGCAUUUGUGGCUGAGGAUCUACCCAUGAGCCCCACAGAGCAAGAGCUGCCAGAUUAAUGCUCCUGCCUAUGACAUGGAAAUUGUCAAAAAUAGACCUGAAUCCUUGCCAGGCCUCCCCAUGAUUUCUGUGUAGUAUGGCCUUAAAUAUAUUAGAUAAGUCAGAAGCCUAAAAUAGCUCAGCUCUUAGAAUAACAGAAUUUGGUCCCCUCCCACUUCCGUAAGUUGAAUUCUUAAUUGCUAAAUUUCAGGCUUUUUUGUUGUUGUUUAUGUAAGAAUUUCAAGGCCACAACUCCAUAUUUGAAGUAAAGUGCUCAUAAAAUUAAUUGCAAGACUUCUGAAGAGAGAUUUGCUAGGAAAAAUAAAAAGAUAUAUAAAUUUCAGUGAUGCUGAAGGUUUUGAGAAGCCAUCUGCAGCUCACAACUAGAUGAGUGACACAAUCAGAUGUGCGUAUGCAAAAAAAAGCCUGGAGACAUUGAACUAAGAUCAAAUUUAAUGUAUUAAAUAUGGUAGAAAGAAGAGAGAAUGAAAAAUAAUGUUAACAAUCUAGGUGAGGAAUUGCUGAGGAGACAAAUUAAGUAAAUCCUGUGGAAGGAAAGAAGAAAGGAGGAAAGAGGAUUGGAUGGAAGAAUCUCCACUUCUCAUGGAGCAAUGAACUGAAGAUAUUUGAGUGAGUUCAAGAGAGACUCAGAAGAGAAGAAUUGGAGGCAGCAAACAUAGACAGCACUUUUAAUGCUUUUCUCAUAUGCUGUAAGACAUGAAAGCAAUCUAUUGGGAUGAAAGCUGAAAGGAGAAGCGGGACAAGAGAAGUGAAUCCGUGGAAGACCCCCAAAAGAGGCUGCAGAUUCUUAGUGGACAGCUCUCAUAUCCCCUCCAGGGAAAAUGAUGAAAAAUGUCUUCAGAAAAAUAGCUUUAUGAAGGCAAGAGGACUUUUUGCACCUGCAAGACAUGUCUGAAAGCUCCUCAGGUCAAAACACAAGUAGUCAAGAGAUUUGUCCAUCUAAUUCAUCAUACUACUCUGAUCCAAGUGAGACCCACACUGGGUCAGCUCCAUCAAGGAGAAGAACAUUCCACCCACGUUUGGAUUCUGGAAUAUCAUCCUUGCUUCCAUCAGAUUCUUGUAAGUACCUCACUUGGCACAAGGUAGACAUGACGUUCAAGGAAGUCAACUGCGUUGCCCAAGAGUAAGAGAAGGAAUCUCUGAAGAAGAGCAACUUUUCAGACAGGUAGAGUGUGCCUUGCUCCCAAGGAAAAGAGUUCUUGAAAAAAACAAAUGGGAAACAUGGCUACAAGAAAACUGGGAAGACUGCAAGAAUUUGAACAUUUCAUUUCAGGGUUUGGGGGAUCCUUACCAAGUUGAAAAUUUUAACAGAAUUCUUAGAAGACUAAUUCGAGUUGAAACCCUCUGGGAUUGCUAGAGAACCCCUUUUACAGGGAGCUGCUAUUUGCUUCAGCAGGCAGAAUGCGUAGGUGGAGUGAGCUUUGGUGGCAAUGAGAGGGGCCAACAGAGGUCCUCAGGAGUGAAUUAGAUGAAGGAAAUUGAGCAUCCACAAAAAGGAAAGAUCCACCAAUAAGAAGACAGCACAAUUCAAAAGAGAAAGGACUUAAUGACAGAGCUAAUAAUGCAAAAACAUGCUAACUGACAAGAAAAUCAUGGGUUUUAUACAAGGAUAACAAGUGCUGGGUUGCUUAGCUAUGAGGAAGGCUAGGCUCACUGCAUACCAGAAGAUGUACAGCGUUGGAGAAUUCAGGGAUUUUUAUCAACAAUCAAACUAUAUUUGUGGAAAUUUUGUGCAUAAGUGCCAAAGAUGGCUGACAUCGGACCACAUUCUAUUUAACUCAACUGAAUGACACCAAGCUCUCAUCCUAAAACUUAUAGUUACAUCCACCCUUCUGAAAUAUUUAAUUAUUCUCCAAUACACUGGAGGUAAUAGGUAUAAAAAGAAUGAGCAUGUGCAACUUAGUAUCUCAUAUCUAAUUUUGUGUCCCAAGUUCAUUCUUCCCCUGAAUGUCCCAUGUCUACCAGGUGCAGGAUUAUCUGGAUGGGUCAGUUCAAAACAAUUUCAGGGAAUAAAUUGUGUAGGGGACUCAAUUUUCUGAGACAGAAACAUAAUGUGAAUAACUCCUUUGUUAGAAAAUAAUUUCAGUGACAGAAAGCCUUUCAGUUCAUAAAGAAAACUUACAUAUCAACAAGCCUAGCUCCUCACUAGUCCCAGUGAAUGCUUACAUCAAUCAGCUCUACAAUAUCCAGUAAAGGACUUUCCAAUUCGCCUUUGAAUAAACUGAGGUAUUGGAAACAUCUAAGAAAAUGGUUUUUAAUUCUUCCUAAUCUUCAGGGAGUUCUUCCUUAUAUUGAGCUGAUAUCUGCCCUCUGUAACUUUCAACUAAUUAUUCAAAUCUCUCAAGUGAUUAUAAUUAAUUCCAUCUUAUAAGGAAUUUUUCUCAGCUUCCAGCCUCUUGAAAAUACUCUGAUAUUUUCUCUAAUAUUCAAGUGGAAAUGUAAAUGGGUAACGUAAGAGUCUGUGGGGUUAGGAGGGUGGAGGAAAGGUAAGGGAAAGCUAAUGAGAAAUAACCAAAGCAAGAAAAAGAAUUUUAUUUUCUUCAAGUUCUUUGUACAUCCAAAGUGGAAGAUUCCUAAAAUAAAUUCCCCAUACCACAUUUUAAAAAUUAGGUUAGCAAGCUUACUUUUUAAUUUAUUUAGAAGCCAACUACUUCCAUUUAUUAUUUCUUUCCAGAAUAGAACAAUUAUCACUAAUUGUUUGUCAUUAUAAUGCCAAACUAUGUUAAUAGAUGCCUAUUUUUUUAAAGGCUAAUUGCAAUCAUGAAACCAAAUAUCUAAUUAGUUUUAGAGCUUUGGACCACAUGCAUCAAUAUUUGAAUCAUUCAGGUGUAUAUUUGCUUUCUGCUUUUUUGUCUCUUCAAAAGAAGUAUUAUAUGCAUUCUGUUUAUAAUUUCUAAAUGGUCAUUUCAAAACUGAUUAUACGAGUUUAUACAAAUCAUACUGAAAUUUGUUGCUUAAAAAAUCUUCAUUUUUCUCUAAGCUCUCAGUGUCCUUGAGCUAUAUAUAUUUUAUGGCAAUUUUUACUUAAUAGUUUGUAUGCUAGUUAUUUUUGACAAUGACUACUAAAAUGCAAGUUUCUUCAAGGGCAGAUUCACCUUAGUUCUUCUUUAUACCCCUCAAAAACCUCAGGGUUAUUCUCAAUAAGUAUUGAGUAGGUGAGUGAACUUUGGAUGUAUACUCCUUGAAAUUAUAUUUCUGGAGCUGGAAAACUUUAAAAAAAUGUAUGUCAUGAGUCUAAAGAAAUAAACAUUAUAUGGCUGAAAAAAUACUUUGUGAAAACCAAAAAUCUCAUGGAAUCAUGAACUUAUCUAUGGGACAGAUGUUAGCCCUGAGGUUGUUCUGGGCUUCUUUUCUACCCACUUCCCAUGACCAAAUCAGUUCACUAGUCAGCAGUUCUAUCCUUCCUCUCCUUCUCCUUCCAUCUAAGGAGCUAGAGCUGAACUGCUUGGCCACUGAUUGCUGACAUGCUGAGUUUUCUACAGCUGGAGUUUUCAAGAGGGCUUUGAUUUUGCUUUCCCCAGUUUUCCUUCUUCCACACUUGAAAAGUGGUAAGGGUACCAGCUUUCUGUCUAUCUCUGACUCUCUCUCUCUCUUUCACACACACACACACACACACACACACACACACACACACUUUUUUUUUUCUUCCACCCUCCUGCACAGCAGGAGACCUUGCCUUGAUCUUUGAAGGUCUACAGCAAGUGGUCUAGGCUAACUCAGUGCUGGGCAAAUGGAGCAAAAACUCUUUUCUGCUUCCUUGCCUCCAUGUCUUUCAGAGCUAGCAGAUACAGCUUUUGUUCUAUAGGAGUGAUUCUUUCUAAAUGUCAGCUCAACAGGAUGAUGGUCACUCUUGUAUAUCACUUAGGCAUGAGUUCUGUUGAAUCCCA
Molecule: long non-coding RNA, 4536 nt
Filed under: Homo sapiens (human)
Lineage: Eukaryota; Metazoa; Chordata; Mammalia; Primates; Hominidae
Description: HSALNT0063787
Source: RNAcentral